UUUUCUGCUUCAACACACCUUUGUUUUUGUUAUGUGCAUAAUUUUUUGGCUCAUGUUGGGAAUAACCCCAAAUUAGUUAUUUAUUAUUCAAGGUUGAUGGCAACGUGUUUUUUUAUUUAUCAAGGCCCUAUAUCCUUCCAUUAAACAGACACUCCGAGGCUGGCAACAGAGCUGCCUGUACUGGGCAAACUCGUUUGCCAAGCGCCUCUUCGUGUUCCUCUACUCCCCUUCCAUCCAUUUCAUCUGCACAAUUCUCACAAUGUUUUUUGCUUCCCCGUUCUUUUUUUUCUUUUUUUUUUUUUUAUUAAGAUUGCCUAAUUUACCCUCGUCUCGUUAUUCCCUCCUUUCAUUGUGCUGUACAAAACUCUUUUCCCAUAGUCGCACAAUUUAUGUGUACACUAUGCGCUUUAUGGUAACUCCCUGCUGGAUCUCUGAUUCUCCUCCGCCUUACGACCCCAUAAAAAUCAAAAGCCCUCGAAAAGAAAAAUGAGAAAAAGAACUGCCAUAGAAGAAAAAAAAAAAACUGGCCAACCAUUGCGGAUAAUGUCUACGCAUGCAGGCCAGUUUCAUAUAUUUUAUCAAGUCUUCCACACAC
Daphnia carinata is the source of this 595-nucleotide long non-coding RNA. RefSeq lists it as uncharacterized. Lineage: Eukaryota; Metazoa; Arthropoda; Branchiopoda; Diplostraca; Daphniidae. The record is from RefSeq and is a predicted model, not a curated record. The transcript is spliced from 2 exons.